UAGAUUCCUUCUCCUCUUCCUCUCUCUUCCCGGAAGUUUUGCCUAUCCUCUCCUGCCUAGCUAUUGGCCAUUCAGCUCUUUAUUAAACCAAUCAGAAGGUGCCUUAGGCAGAGAUGCAUCUUUACAGUGUAAGCAAAUAUUCCACAACAGAUUUCCUCUUCCUG
Molecule: non-coding RNA, 164 nt
Organism: Peromyscus maniculatus bairdii (prairie deer mouse)
Lineage: Eukaryota; Metazoa; Chordata; Mammalia; Rodentia; Cricetidae
Source: RefSeq, a predicted model, not a curated record